AUUUAAUUGAUCAUGAGAUGUUAGGCAUGCAGCAGAAAAAAAAUUUGCCUUACUGUUUCUACUACUAUAUGGUAACUGUUGAAUCCCAGCCUAAUCCACUAAUUGAACACCUGGGGAAGGACCCGGUCAGCCCUGGGAGCACAGGUGAAGGCAAUUCAGCUGUGUGAUAGGAAGGGCUGCAGCCUGGCUGCAGUCUCUCAGUUCUCCUUUAAGGGUUGAUUGCCAAGGGGGAGGAUCUCUGGUUACAGUUCCCUCUCUUGUGGAGUUUUCCCUCUGAGCCUACAUCUUCAGAAACUGGUGAGCACUUUUCCUUUGUAACAUUUUUCCAUUUGCACUUGUCCCUUUGUUACUGCUCUUCUUUAUCACCAUUCCACUUGUUGACCUUUCUGAGUGUAACGUAUUGCUAAUAUACAUUGAUAGUUAAGUGAUAGACUAGUCCUAUUUCCACACAAAGAAGUUGUUAUAAAGGACUUGUAAAUGGCAGACGUUCUCAAAAGAGCAGGCUGAUCAUUAAGGCUUAGAUGCCUUUUAUGGCUGCAUUAUAUGAUUGUGUUUAAUAUCUUGGAGGGACUGAUAGUGCAACUAGUUGAAACACGAACUUCUGAUUUACCUGGGGCAAAUGAGUGCAGCAUUCUGUGCUUGUGUAUUGUUAACAAAUGGUUCUCUUGUAGGGCUUGCUAUUCUCUCUAGUAGUAAGAAGCUACUGCUGCGAAGAAGCCAUACUGGAGCAUGAGUUGCUCACAAAUAUGCGUAAUUGAUGGAAAAAGGAGAAAUAUUCUUUGGAUGCUAUGCCGCCAGCUAUUUGCAUGGCACCACAGAUGUGUGUGGCACUCAGGAGUCUGAUCUGCAGUGCUUUCUCUACCCCUUUUGCCCUGAGGAUCCUAUUAGCAGAAAGCUGAGCAACUCUGUUUCAUCAGAAAUAAAUUAUGCCUCACUUUUUUAA
This 943-nucleotide long non-coding RNA is filed under the name Phasianus colchicus (ring-necked pheasant). Its description in RNAcentral is "lncRNA (ENSPCLG00000008813.1)". The record is from RNAcentral. Lineage: Eukaryota; Metazoa; Chordata; Aves; Galliformes; Phasianidae.